UGUGCCAGAAGCCGCGGUAAUACGUAGGGUGCAAGCGUUAAUCGGAAUUACUGGGCGUAAAGCGUGCGCAGGCGGUUCGUUAAGACGGAUGUGAAAUCCCCGGGCUCAACCUGGGAACUGCAUUCGUGACUGGCAAGCUAGAGUAUGGCAGAGGGGGGUAGAAUUCCACGUGUAGCAGUGAAAUGCGUAGAGAUGUGGAGGAAUACCGAUGGCGAAGGCAGCCCCCUGGGCCAAUACUGACGCUCAUGCACGAAAGCGUGGGGAGCAAACAGGAUUAGAUACCCUGGUAGUCCACGCCCUAAACGAUGUCAACUAGUUGUUGGGGAUUCAUUUCCUUAGUAACGAAGCUAACGCGUGAAGUUGACCGCCUGGGGAGUACGGUCGCAAGAUUAAAACUCAAAGAAAUUGACGGGAAUC
Molecule: ribosomal RNA, 417 nt
Filed under: Burkholderia cepacia
Lineage: Bacteria; Pseudomonadati; Pseudomonadota; Betaproteobacteria; Burkholderiales; Burkholderiaceae
Description: bacterial SSU rRNA
Rfam family: Bacterial small subunit ribosomal RNA
Source: RNAcentral